Long non-coding RNA from Oncorhynchus keta (chum salmon), 2269 nucleotides. RefSeq lists it as uncharacterized. The transcript is spliced from 3 exons. NCBI's taxonomy places the organism in Eukaryota, Metazoa, Chordata, Actinopteri, Salmoniformes, Salmonidae. The record is from RefSeq and is a predicted model, not a curated record.
UGUCUGGAAUCAACGCUGUGAGUUAGAGUAAGAGGAAACAACUGUCUGGAAUCAAUGCUGUGACUUACUGAGAGAGAGGGAACAACUGUCUGCAAUCACCGCUGUGAGGUAAUGAGAGAGAGGGAACAACUGUCUGGAAUCAAUGUUGUGAGUUACUGAGAGAGAGGGAACAAAUGUCUGGAAUUAACGCUGUGAGUUACUGAGAGAGAGGGAACAACUGUCUGGAAUUAACACUGUGAGUUACUGAGAGAGAGGGAACAACUGUCUGGAAUCGACGCUGUGAGUUACUGAGAGAGAGGGAACAACUACAUGGAAUCAACGCUGUGAGUUAGAGAAAGAGGUAACAACUGUCUGGAAUCAACACUGUGAGUAACUGAGAAACAGGGAACAACUGUCUGGAAUCAACGCUGUGAGUUACUAAGAGAGAGGGAACAACUACCUGGAAUCAACGCUGUGAGUUACUGAGAGAGAGGGAACAACUACAUGGAAUCAACGCUGUGAGUUAGAGAAAGAGGUAACAACUGUCUGGAAUCAACGCUGUGAGUUAGAGUAAGAGGAAACAACUGUCUGGAAUCAACGCUGUGAGUUAGAGUAAGAGGGAACAACUGUCUGGAAUCAACGCUGUGAGUUACUGAGAAACAGGGAACAACUGUCUGGAAUCAACACUGUGAGUUGCAGAGAGAGAGAGGGAACAACUGUCUGGAAUCAACACUGUGAGUUACUGAGAGAGAGGGAAAAACUGUCUGGAAUCAACGCUGUGAGUUACUGAGAAAGAGGGAACAACUGUCUGGAAUUAACACUGUGAGUUACUGAGAGAGAGGGAACAACUGUCUGGAAUCAAUGCUGUGACUUACUGAUAGAGAGGGAACAACUGUCUACAAUCACCGCUGUGAGUUACUGAGAAAGAGGGAACAACUGUCUGGAAUUAACACUGUGAGUUACUGAGAGAGAGGGAAGAACUGUCUGGAAUCAAUGCUGUGACUUACUGAGAGAGAGGGAACAACUGUCUACAAUCACCGCUGUGAGUUACUGAGAAAGAGGGAACAAAUGUCUGGAAUCACCGCUGUGAGGUAAUGAGAGAGAGGGAACAACUGUCUGGAAUCACCGCUGUGAGGUAAUGAGAGAGAGGGAACAACUGUCUGGAAUCACCGCUGUGAGUUACUGAGAAAGAGGGAACAAAUGUCUGGAAUCACCGCUGUGAGGUAAUGAGAAAGAGGGAACAAAUGUCUGGAAUCACCGCUGUGAGGUAAUGAGAGAGAGGGAACAACUGUCUACAAUCACCGCUGUGAGUUACUGAGAAAGAGGGAACAAAUGUCUGGAAUCACCGCUGUGAGGUAAUGAGAGAGAGGGAACAACUGUCUGGAAUCACCGCUGUGAGGUAAUGAGAGAGAGGGAACAACUGUCUGGAAUCACCGCUGUGAGGUAAUGAGAGAGAGGGAACAACUGUCUGGAAUCACCGCUGUGAGGUAAUGAGAGAGAGGGAACAACUGUCUGGAAUCACCGCUGUGAGGUAAUGAGAGAGAGGGAACAACUGUCUGGAAUCACCGCUGUGAGGUAAUGAGAGAGAGGGAACAACUGUCUGGAAUCACCGCUGUGAGGUAAUGAGAGAGAGGGAACAACUGUCUGGAAUCAAUGUUUUGAGUUACUGAGAGAGGGAACAAAUGUCUGGAAUCACCGCUGUGAGGUAAUGAGAGAGAGGGAACAACUGUCUGGAAUCAAUGUUUUGAGUUACUUAGAGAUAGGGAAAACUGUCUGGAAUCAACUCUGUGAGUUACUGAGAGAGAGGAAACAACUGUCUGGAAUCAACGCUGUGAGUUACUUAGAGAUAGGGAAAACUGUCUGGAAUCAACUCUGUGAGUUACUGAGAGAGAGGGAACAACUGUCUGGAAUCAACACUGUGAGUUACUGAGAGAGAGGGAACAACUGUCUGGAAUUUACGCUGUGAGUUACUGAGAGAGAGGGAAAAACUGUCUGGAAUCACCGCUGUGAGUUACUGAGAGAGAGAGAGGGAACAAGUGUCUGAGAGAGGGAAUACAGGAAGAAAUGAGAGGGAGUAUUACUGAGUGAGAGAUAAUUGUUAGUGUGUGUGUUUGUGUGUGUGUUUGUGUGUGUUUUUGUGUGUGAGUCACCAGUGAUUUUAUUGUAUCUAUUUUAUGUUCUUUUAUAUUGUUGUGUAUUGUUUUACAUCGUUUUAACAGCCUGGAUAAGUCAGAUUGAGGUUUUUAUGACUCUGCUUUACUGAAUGGAAACAUAAUGUUUGUUUUAAUCU